AAGCCAGAGGGUUCCUGACCUUGUAUGGGGUGGGGUGGGAGGGGCGGUAACAAUGAGAAGGGAAGCAACUCGUUCAGCAGCGGGACAUGAAGAAGGGGUCUUUGGGAAGCAGCCAAAGGUCAGCUGGCUGAGCAGUGCAGUGGAGGCUGCAGGGCUGUGCCGGCGGCGGCGGGAGGAGCCACCAUCCUGGGCAGGAGAAUCUGUGCAGAAACGCAUGGCAAGUGAGGAAGAUGAGGCCAGAGAGCCAAUAGGGACAGGCUUUGGGGCCCCACCCCAGCUCCUGAGAUCCGCAUAGACUGCCCACAAUUUCAUCUCCCUGAGCCUGUUCCAUCAUCUAAAGAAAAAAAGCUGCCAGGUGCCCAGGUUCUCCUCCCGGAAGGUGUGCACGUUGGCUGAAGCGGCUCCCUGUUAUCCCGGUUCAACACGUCACGGAG
This is a non-coding RNA of Microcebus murinus (gray mouse lemur), 434 nucleotides long. The record is from RefSeq and is a predicted model, not a curated record. NCBI's taxonomy places the organism in Eukaryota, Metazoa, Chordata, Mammalia, Primates, Cheirogaleidae.